UUCUACUAUCUUUCUUGAAAGGUCUUCUGGAGCUUAAGAGCUCAUAUGUGAUUUGACAUUGUAACAUUCUGAAUUUUUGAAAUUUCUCAAAAUUGAUUUUUCUUCUUAGAAAUAGAAAGUAGAGGUCGCCACGAGUUUUCCGUAUUUUUCGAUGAAUUUUUCGAGUUCCCGAGCUAUUUUUAGCGAUUUUUCGAAGUUAUGUUCAAAAGAUAAGAAUUACUGACGUGACAAGCUCGGAUUGGAUGAGAGAGUGACAUGUGGCAAGUGGAGAGGAGACCAGCUGACGCUGAUGUCAGCAAUAAGUAUUAGUCAUCAGCCAUGUUGCAAGUGGUGGCCAAGUGGGGUGGCACUCUUUGAAGUUGACACGUGGCAUCUUUGCCACCAAUGGCAAUGUGACAUGUGGCUACUUUUGUCUCUAUAAUAGAGACCAGUCCUCUUUCCUUCCGCAUCAGAUCAGAUUUUGAGAGACUCUCUUUCUCCUCACUUUCUCUCUCAUCCGUUUUUCUCUCUCCAGAAUUAGUUUUACGAUUAAAAUUCGGUGGAUCAUAACUUUUGAUUUGUAACUCCGAUUUUAAAUCCGCGAAAGGCUACGGGUUUGUCUCGAUGUUCUCUUCCUAUCUUAGAGGUUUGAGCUAGAUCCAACGGUGAUUCUAGAUGACUGGUUUUAGGAGGCUCGGUUUACGAUCGGUACACGUGGUGGGAUCUCGAUACUAUCGAGGUGAGUGGAUUUGUGUAAUAUGUUUAAAAUAUUCUUAUUUGUUAUCAAAAUAGUCGAAAAACAUGAUUUUGAUCUUUUAUGAAAUAUCUCUCUAUUUUUAUAGUGAAGCAUGUCGAUUUGCGAAAUAUGUAGGGUUUAUAUAUAAUUAUGUGUUGGAUCUAUUGUUUGACUAGUCAUGGAACAUGUGAACUUCUUGAUUGGUUAUGCCGAAGUAAGGAUGUGACACACGGAGGUAUAGGACUUGAAGGUCAUUUGGUUCUCGUGGGGAUCACUAAAUUGAAGGAUAUCCAAUAAGAAGGAAUUGUACGAUGUGGUGAAUUGCUUGAUGUGAUGUGUAUACGAUAUACGUAUUUUGUAGCGUGUGUAAAAUGACAUGCCUUUGCAGGCAUAUUGCAUUGGUAUACUCACUGAGCGCGUGAUUAUGCUCACCCACCCAUCUCUAAUAUUUUUUUGCAGAGAAGUACUUAGAUUUGACCGAGCCGGGAAAGGGUAGCCGACGAGCCUAGAAGAUAGUGUUUUUGUUUAUUUCUGCUUUGUAACACUCGUUUACGCUUCGGGAUCGGCUUCCGGCGCUUAAAACCCGCCAACGCCGGGACCGGGGUGUGACAGACAUUUUCAAUUCAUCAAGCUUCUCAACAAAGGAUUUGGAUUCAGACCAAAUAUCAUCCAAAACCAACAGCAAAAGAUUUGUGUGCUUUACAAAUUCUCGCAGCCAGUUGACUGCAUUUACUUCAGUUUGGAAAUCAGGUACCUGAGAACCCUUGCAUUGAGAAAGCUCUUGUACAAUCAGGUUUAAGUUGGGCUUCUUUGAUACAGUUACAAAGAAGAUAUUGUUCUUGGACUUGUCUCGCAAUUCUGCAUCUUGACAAAACUUAGUUGCCAAUGUAGUUUUCCCGCACCCCCUGGAGCAGUGAGCAUAAGCAUUGAUACUCCAUAUCCUUAAGAAACUUUAGCUUCAAUUCUUUCGAAGGCCUGCUUGUCCAUUAAAAGUUGUUGCCAUGACGUUUCGUGGUGUAAAAACCAGUUAGUGGGGGUGAGCUAUUAUAACUUAUUAUCUACUGUGAUGUUGUUAUUUCAAAUUUUUCUAUCUUGAGAUGUUUACUUUGUAGUUGCAGCAUGGUUUUGGCCACCUAAAGAUUUUGGAUUAUUAAAGCAUAGCAAAGGGAAUGCUCCAGCCUUAUGAGCAUUGGCUUUCCAUUGAAGUGGUCUAUGAAGUUGAGGAACCAAGACUAGAAUCAUGGGAAAAGAGUUCAUAAUUGCAAACUUGCUAUUAGUCUAGAGAAAAUUUAGGCGGCUGAUAGAGUCAACCUAGCUUUGCACUAGAAACUUGCUGAUAAUACACUUACACGUCUUCUGUGAAUUGAGGCUUGUUAAAGUUUUGAUGUUUAAAAUAUUGGUGUUGCAUUGUUGCUUAUAUCUUGGAUGAAUUUGAG
RNAcentral lists this long non-coding RNA (2151 nucleotides) under Fragaria vesca (wild strawberry). Its description in RNAcentral is "long non-coding RNA (FVES_LNC002543)". Lineage: Eukaryota; Viridiplantae; Streptophyta; Magnoliopsida; Rosales; Rosaceae. The record is from RNAcentral.